RNAcentral lists this ribosomal RNA (494 nucleotides) under uncultured bacterium. RNAcentral's name for it is "partial 16S ribosomal RNA". It matches the Rfam family "Bacterial small subunit ribosomal RNA", at positions 28 to 507 of the family's 1533-position model. The record is from RNAcentral.
GACGAACGCUGGCGGCGUGCUUAACACAUGCAAGUCGAACGGUGAAGCGCCUUCCUUUUUGGUGGGUGUGGAUGAGCGGCGAACGGGUGAGUAACACGUGAGUAACCUGCCCCCUUCUUCUGGAUAACCGCAUGAAAGUGUGGCUAAUACGGGAUAUUCUGGGUCUGUCGCAUGAUGGGUCUGGGAAAGAUAUUGUUUCGGUGGGGGAUGGGCUCGCGGCCUAUCAGCUUGUUGGUGGGGUGAUGGCCUACCAAGGCGGUGACGGGUAGCCGGCCUGAGAGGGUGGACGGUCACACUGGGACUGAGACCCGGCCCAGACUCCUACGGGAGGCAGCAGUGGGGAAUAUUGCACAAUGGGCGCAAGCCUGAUGCAGCGACGCCGCGUGAGGGAUGGAGGCCUGCGGGUUGUGAACCUCUUUCGCCAGUGAAGCAGGCCUGCCUCGUUUGUGGGUGGGUUGACGGUAGCUGGAUAAGAAGCGCCGGCUAACUACGUG